CAAAUGCUGUGUGAGAGAGGUCGGUACUUGGCAGCUUGGAGGUCUUAUGGGGCACAGUUAACCCUGUGCAUGUUAGGAAAGUGACCUCUUGUGCAACACCUCUCAUCAUCUCAGCACACCUUUUACUCCAGCUAUUGCCAUGGCAACAAGCUUCACACAAGUGCAAACUGACAGCACCGUGCAUCUCUCCCUUUCUGCAUCAGGGCUCCUCAGGCUCAAGCACAACCUGGAAAAACGAAGGUGUUAAUGUUCCAUGAGGCAACUGAUGACCAAUGGGGAGCAGGAGCUGGUGAAUGAAUGUUCCCUUCAUCCAUCCUGCAGCUUCUACAUUGUUCUUCAUCUCUGGGAAAUCAGUGACCCAUGGACUGGACAAUAACUUUGAGCCAUGCAGUCAAAAUAAAAUGGAAUAUUUAAGUGAAAGAUCAGGUUCUGGAAAAUAAAACUGCUCGUAGCUGCAUAUUAUCUACCGAACUUAGGUGGAUUCUCAGAAAGAAAAAGGUGAUGUUCACUGGCAUGAACAGUGAAUGGUGGAGUGGAACGUGAACAGGCUGGAGCUCUGGCUGUGCCAUUUAUUAGCCAUGUGCCUUUAGAAGGUCCUCAUCUUCUCCAGCCUCAGUUUCACCAUCUGUAAUGGUAGGAGUAUCCAUGACCCAGAGAGAGUAUCAGUGUCAAGAAUCUGCCAGUGAGAAAGUGAUUUGAAGCAGCUCUGGAGUUCAGAUGGCCACGGGUGCAAGUGCCUGCUCUGGUGUGCUUUGCCUCUGGAAAGAUGCCAAGUCUUUGAGAAUCUUUGCUGCAUCAGCCAUGCUACAUCCUGAGGACUUGGAGGUGAGGAAAUCCUGUGUGCACUUGUUUCCUUCCCUUCAAAUGAUAUAUCCCAGAAAAAUGGCAAGCUCUCUGCUUACUAACUCUUUUCUUUUUCUUUAGUUCCCCCUUAGCUUUCUCUCUCCUUUCUUCCGUCUUUCUCUUGCCUCCUUUCAUUUUUGGUAAAAUCCAAAGCGAAAUGUCAACUCAGAGGACAUAGCUGUUUGUCUUCACCACCUACAAACUGUAUUUCCUGGAUCAAGCCGCUUAACUCCAUUGAACUGUUUUUAGCAUCCUGAAAAUGGGGAAUCACACUUUCCACUUAUCCAAGCAUUUGCUCAUUCGUUUAUUAAUAAUGUAACACCCUUGAAUGCCAGGCCCUGAACUGAAGAUAUGGUCCUGACCCACUGGGUAGUCACAGGAGAGUGGAGAAUAAUGCUUCAUUUGCUAUGUUGCUUCAAGAAUUACAUAAAAUAAGGCAGUUAAAAAUAUUUUGUGAACCAAAUAGUGCAUUAUGAAAAGAUAUUAACACUUCUUACUUUCUUAUAGCAAUUUCUAAAUGAUUUAAUUUCUGCCAUCAAAAUAUCCCCCUUGUGUUGAUCUAAACCAUCAGAUUGCAAGGUAAAGCCCUGAUGUAACUGAUGAGAUGAAGAACACUGUAUGGCCAUUAUUUUAGGUACGAUAAACAUUUGACUUCUCUUACAGAGACCUAAGGAAAAUGACUUAAAUAGGGUAGAAAUGUCUUUCUCAUGUAACAAGCCAUGCAUUAGCAGACCAGGGCUAGUGUGACAGUUCCUCCAUGGGUCACUGUGUGGUUCAUUAAGGUGUUGUCCUCCUUGGCAUGACCCACGAUGGCUGCCAGUGUAACAGCUGAAUGUCAACCAGCAAGACAGAGGUGAGGGGUGGGGAGGAGGGCAUGCCUCUUCCCUCUGAGAAAUUGCCCACCUACUUCUGUUUAUGUCCCAUGAGCCAAAAUUUAGAAUUAGGUGUCUCCACCUAGCUUCAGGGAGGCUUGGGAACUGAAGUCUUUAUCCUGGGCAUUCUAGCAUACCCUACAUCCAAUCUGUCAAAGUUGCAUUUAGAAUCCAGCCCCUUCUCACCACCUUUACUUCUUUCAUGGCGGUCCAAGCCACUUUCACUGGAUGACGGCAGUAGCCACCUAACUGGCUUCUCUGCUUCUUCUCUUGCCCUCCACUGAAAUCUUUGCUCAGCGCACGUUGAAUAAUGACUCUUUUAGGAUGUAAGCCAGAUUUUUCAACUCCUCUGCUCAAACCCCUGCAAUGGCUUGCUAGGCCCUGUGGGAUUAGGCCUUUGCUACCUGUCCCUUCCUUCCAUCCUCCCUCCUCCCUUGCUUACUCCACUCCAGCCACAUCUGCUCCCUUCCUGGCCUCAGGAAGGCAGACAUGCUGUUGGGUAGGGAUUUUCAUCGGUCGUUCCUUCAGCCUAAAAAUUGUCCAUUUCAGAUAUUCACAGGGCUCAUUCCCUCGCCUCCUUCAAAUCUUUCCUCAAAUGUCACCUUCUUAUAGAGGUCUAUCAUGACUUCUCUACUUAAAAUGGCAAGACCUGCUUCCCAACUUUUGGCACUCCUAAUCUGCCUUAUCUUAUUCUUUUUUUUUUUUUUUUUUUUUUCACAGCAGGGACAUUUUCUAAUAUAGGUUUAUACUUUACUUAUUUACUAUCUUUAGUGUGUGUGUGUGUGUGUGCCUCUUCCCUUGCUAGAAUGACAGCUCCCUGAAGGCAAGGAUUUUUUUUUCUUCCCUGAUGUAUCCCCAGUACCUAAAAGAGUGCCUGGUGUAUAAUAGAUAAUAAAUAUUUCUUGAAUAUAAGCUUGCAUGAAGAGAUGGAGCCGAAUCCAGUUCUGAUGACAUCAUUUGAGCUCUGGUUCCAUGUGCCUAAAGCAAGAAUUCUACACUUUUCAGUUCCAUGGGUCAAUAAAUUUUCUUGUGUUUAUUUAUUUAAUUGGAAGACUAUUAUUUAACUAAAUCAAUUAGA
Molecule: long non-coding RNA, 2793 nt
Filed under: Homo sapiens (human)
Lineage: Eukaryota; Metazoa; Chordata; Mammalia; Primates; Hominidae
Description: HSALNT0007518
Source: RNAcentral